ACUCCUACGGGAGGCAGCAGUGGGGAAUCUUGGACAAUGGGGGCAACCCUGAUCCAGCCAUGCCGCGUGAGUGAUGAAGGCCUUAGGGUCGUAAAGCUCUUUCGCCUGUGAAGAUAAUGACGGUAGCAGGUAAAGAAACCCCGGCUAACUCCGUGCCAGCAGCCGCGGUAAUACGGAGGGGGUUAGCGUUGUUCGGAAUUACUGGGGCGUAAAGCGCACGUAGGCGGAUCGGAAAGUUGGGGGUGAAAUCCCCGGGGCUCAACCCCGGAACUGCCUCCAAAACUAUCGGUCUAGAGUUCGAGAGAGGUGAGUGGAAUUCCGAGUGUAGAGGUGAAAUUCGUAGAUAUUCGGAGGAACACCAGUGGCGAAGGCGGCUCACUGGCUCGAUACUGACGCUGAGGUGCGAAAGUGUGGGGAGCAAACAGGAUUAGAUACCCUGGUAGGAUAGCG
This 450-nucleotide ribosomal RNA is filed under the name uncultured bacterium. Its description in RNAcentral is "bacterial SSU rRNA". It matches the Rfam family "Bacterial small subunit ribosomal RNA", at positions 335 to 799 of the family's 1533-position model. The record is from RNAcentral.